CACGUCUUAUAAAUUUUCCCCCAAAUUCAACCUCUUUUUUUAAUAAGUAGUUCAUUUUGGUACAGCUUUUCCUCUUCCAAGCAGAAGUUUCAUUUCACAACUCACAAGACUCAAUAUCAAAAUGUCUCUAUCCUAAACACAAAGUAUAAAGAAGGAGAUGGGUCAUCACCACCACCACCACCAUGAAGGUGCCAAUCCAUAUGAUGAUCCCUUCCUGGCAUGUUGUUGCUUCCCUUGCUUGCUAGUAUCCUCUGUGUUCUCUAUGUUUACGAGGUGCAUCUGUUACCCUUUUCUGCACUGUUUGGGAUGGGAUGAACAUAGACACCAACACCAUCAUCACCACCACAGCCAUUUCUUAUAAUUAACCCCAAAUUUGAUGAUUAUUUUUGUGGUAGCAAGACAAAGUUGUGAUUUUUGUUUUUCCAGUUUCAGAGGAUUGUUAGUAUUUCAAUUUGGUUGUUUGUGUAUACGUUACCUUAUGUACCAGUUAUAAAUUUGAGUUGUUGUUUGUUCACUCUGAGUCCAAAGGGAUGGAAGAAAAAUAGGGUUGUUUGUUGCAAAUCAUUAAAGUUUAUGUUGUUUUCUUGAAA
Solanum dulcamara is the source of this 590-nucleotide long non-coding RNA. RefSeq lists it as uncharacterized. NCBI's taxonomy places the organism in Eukaryota, Viridiplantae, Streptophyta, Magnoliopsida, Solanales, Solanaceae. The transcript has 3 exons. The record is from RefSeq and is a predicted model, not a curated record.